GUUAUUGGACAUAUACAGCUUAUGAAUGUUGUACAGAUCCAUCUGCAAAUGAUGGGUCUUAAGUGUCCAGAUGUCAACUGUGACUGUUUCCUCUGUAAGAGAGGAGAGCAAAUUCAACAUGCUAGAAGACCAUCUUGAAUGGGGGAAGGGCAGGAAGGAGAGAGAAUUCCAGAGAAGAAACAGAGGAACUGAGAAGAUCCAAACAGUUGAACUCAUUUCUCUUUGGGAAGCCCACCAGGAAGGUUGAUCUGAGUGAACCUCUGAGCCUGGAGCAUCCUCCUGUGAAGCCUGACCCUCAGUAUCCAGUGGAAGACAAACCAGACUGCAGAGAGCCCCAGGUGCUGUUUUCAAAGAAGAUUAAGAGGGAUUUUAUCUUGGUGAAAUUCUAUUCCAAGAUGGGUGAAAAAAAUUCCCCAAAGAAAGUGAAAGAUGAAUGGAUUAAAGUACAGCUUCUAAAUGAUUCAUUUUCGAUCAACGAGAGACUACCACUAACAUUUAAUAAAGACUCUAGUUCGUCUGCUAACUAUAAAGGAACCAAUGUAUGUAAAGUGAAAUAAUAUUUGUAAAGUGCUUAGUAAAAGGCCAGACUUAUAGUAUAUGCUUAAUAAAAAUGUGUUCCCUGUUUGAUAAAA
Molecule: non-coding RNA, 632 nt
Organism: Monodelphis domestica (gray short-tailed opossum)
Lineage: Eukaryota; Metazoa; Chordata; Mammalia; Didelphimorphia; Didelphidae
Source: RefSeq, a predicted model, not a curated record